UACGAAGGGGGCUAGCGUUGUUCGGAAUUACUGGGCGUAAAGCGCACGUAGGCGGGUUGUUAAGUCAGGGGUGAAAUCCCGGAGCUCAACUCCGGAACUGCCUUUGAUACUGGCAAUCUAGAGACUGGAAGAGGUUAGUGGAAUUCCCAGUGUAGAGGUGAAAUUCGUAGAUAUCAGGAGGAACACCGGUGGCGAAGGCGGCCCUCUGGACGGUGACUGACGCUGAGACGCGAAAGCGUGGGGAGCAAACAGG
This 253-nucleotide ribosomal RNA is filed under the name uncultured bacterium. RNAcentral describes it as "partial 16S ribosomal RNA". It matches the Rfam family "Bacterial small subunit ribosomal RNA", at positions 524 to 776 of the family's 1533-position model. The record is from RNAcentral.